Molecule: long non-coding RNA, 666 nt
Organism: Canis lupus familiaris (dog)
Lineage: Eukaryota; Metazoa; Chordata; Mammalia; Carnivora; Canidae
Exons: 3
Source: RefSeq, a predicted model, not a curated record
UAGAUCUAGAAUUUAGAUCUAUGGUACCUAAUGCAAUGUCCAUCAUCAAGGGUCUACCUGGAUACCUCCAAGAGUGAGGGAUCUUCUUCAUGAUAUAGUUUAUGCCAUCAUUGGGUAAUACUCAUUGCUGACUCUCCAAUCCCAUGAGCAGAUGGAAUGUCCAUGCCCUUUGAACUGCCUCCAGCAUUCUGAAGAAAUGGACAUUGCUUGAAAAUGAAGAUUCUUGUACUCCUAACGUGAUCCUGAAGAUGGUGGUUGGAGGAGAAGAUUGCACAGUGAGCAUGGCUUCAAUACUUCUAUUGGAUUUCAGAGCUGGAUGUUGUUCCUAACUCAAGAGUCUUGCUCUAUAUCUUAAGAUUCAUCAGGAAAGUCUUUGUUAACUGCCAGAUGGUAUGUUGACCUAAGGAAAUGGGCCUUUAGCUACUGGAAAUCCAUUGUGCCAAGUGGAACAUUCCUAAAUGAAUAUGGAAGGAGAGAUCAUUGUUUAUGGUCCACCUAUUCACCCAGAAGAGUUGCUGAGUUCUGGCAUUCCAGUAGGGCAGAGGAUGGUGAAGUGACAAAAGACUCGUGAGACUACUUAAAAGUAUUUUUCCCUGCUUAAUUAGGCAAUAAAGAUUUUCCAGGAAACUGAACUUCCUUAAAUUGAGAAGUUCCUUAAUACUGCUG